CCGGGUUGCGGACAGUGUCUGGUGGGUAGUUUGACUGGGGCGGUCUCCUCCCAAAGAGUAACGGAGGAGCACGAAGGUUAGCUAAUCCUGGUCGGACAUCAGGAGGUUAGUGCAAUGGCAUAAGCUAGCUUGACUGCGAGAGUGACGGCUCGAGCAGGUGCGAAAGCAGGUCAUAGUGAUCCGGUGGUUCUGAAUGGAAGGGCCAUCGCUCAACGGAUAAAAGGUACUCCGGGGAUAACAGGCUGAUACCGCCCAAGAGUUCAUAUCGACGGCGGUGUUUGGCACCUCGAUGUCGGCUCAUCACAUCCUGGGGCUGAAGUAGGUCCCAAGGGUAUGGCUGUUCGCCAUUUAAAGUGGUACGCGAGCUGGGUUUAGAACGUCGUGAGACAGUUCGGUCCCUAUCUGCCGUGGGCGCUGGAGAAUUGAGGGGGGCUGCUCCUAGUACGAGAGGACCGGAGUGGACGCAUCACUGGUGUUCGGGUUGUCAUGCCAAUGGCACUGCCCGGUAGCUAAAUGCGGAAGAGAUAAGUGCUGAAAGCAUCUAAGCACGAAACUUGCCCCGAGAUGAGUUCUCCCUGAGACUU
Molecule: ribosomal RNA, 584 nt
Filed under: Enterobacter cloacae
Lineage: Bacteria; Pseudomonadati; Pseudomonadota; Gammaproteobacteria; Enterobacterales; Enterobacteriaceae
Description: bacterial LSU rRNA
Rfam family: Bacterial large subunit ribosomal RNA
Source: RNAcentral